RNAcentral lists this ribosomal RNA (253 nucleotides) under uncultured bacterium. RNAcentral describes it as "partial 16S ribosomal RNA". It matches the Rfam family "Bacterial small subunit ribosomal RNA", at positions 524 to 776 of the family's 1533-position model. The record is from RNAcentral.
UACGUAGGGUGCGAGCGUUAAUCGGAAUUACUGGGCGUAAAGCGUGCGCAGGCGGUUUUGUAAGCCAGAUGUGAAAUCCCCGGGCUUAACCUGGGAAUGGCAUUUGGGACUGCAAGGCUCGAGUGCGGCAGAGGAGACUGGAAUUCCUGGUGUAGCAGUGAAAUGCGUAGAUAUCAGGAGGAACACCGAUGGCGAAGGCAGGUCUCUGGGCUGACACUGACGCUGAGGAGCGAAAGCGUGGGGAGCGAACAGG